Molecule: non-coding RNA, 315 nt
Organism: Vicia faba (fava bean)
Lineage: Eukaryota; Viridiplantae; Streptophyta; Magnoliopsida; Fabales; Fabaceae
Source: the annotation of a GenBank genome assembly
AUGCUGAAUGCGGUUGUUGCGAUGCUAAUUAACUACAAUUUGUUCUUUAACUUGAAUAAUGGUAUCUGUAAUGGUGCUUUCCGAUACUGUUUUGUUGCGGUCACGGACCGUUUCUUUAAGCCUUUUAAUUACGUUCUUAAUGUCACAUUUGCUUCCUUACUCCGACAAUUUUUUUUUUUGUUGAUAUUUGGUUAUUUGUGUUUACCCUCGUCUCAAUUGUGUUGUGUUAUUUAUUCUGAAAUGAAUCCUUACAUUUCUUUUUGUUUAUUUUCAUUGGUUAGGAUCCAUAUUUACUUUCGAUUUAAGGACUUUUAG